ACCUAACCACUUUUUCCGAGACAGCCAACCAAGGGUCUUGUUUCUUUUCUAUCAGUUGCACAGUGUUGGAGUUUGGAGUAAUACUUCAUGCAUCUUCUUCCAAGUUCUAGGGGCAGAGAAUUUUUUCACCAGAAACAUGAGAUACUAACUACGAUAAAUACAAUUUGCACAACUGUUUGAUUUUCAUUGUUAGUAUAUCUCUAUUCUGUUUUAAUUUUAGUUAUUGAUAGUUAAAAAAUACUGUUUUUUUUACUUGAUUAAAUGGAAACCUUUUCAAGUUGAUGGUUUCCCACCUUAUAGUCCCCAAAAAAGGUAUUGUAGAUCACUACCUACAUGUUAUUUCUUUAGGAAACAUAACACACCUUCAUGCUAGUGGGUCUCUGAAGAUUAUGUUGCUGAACUAUGUUAAUAUUGGUUAGGACAAACGACAAAGUGCUGGUCCUCCUGUCCUAGUUUCUGCAUGACAAUGUGCAGAUUUUGAUGCUUAGUUUUGCACAUUAUCAUGCUGUUGUGUAUAAUUAUUUAUGUAUUCUACCAGAGGGAAAUCAGAUGAGCAGUCCGAAAUUCACAGCCACAUUACAGAACAAUGCGUUUUCAUGCUAAAAUACUUCAGUUUUAAAAAGAUCUAGAUGUAAUUGUUCGCAGAAAUUUAGGAAGUAUGCCCUUGUGGAGCAAAUGAAAAAGAACGGGAAUAAAACACUUUGGAGUGAUGCUUUCCUAAACUAUCAAUUCGUUUUUGCAUACUUCAUUUGAUGUUUGCUUGCAGAAAUUUAAGGUCUGGCUUUCUGAUAUUCUUAUCCUCUUGUUUUUUAACUAUUAUUUAGGUGUUAUCUAGUGGACAGAAACAUGCGGCACUGUCCACGUGGAAGCCUCUUCACCCUCAAAUGUUCGUCUUUAUAGUGUUGUUGGUUUAGGCAAGCCUCGUUUGACCGAUUCUUUUUCUGUUAAGGAAAAGGGAAGUUGUUGUUGAGUUCAAUUGCUCUAGAAUUAGAAUCUUUCCUAAAACUUCGAUACCCAAGUGCAUUACCAUUAUUAUCUGUUUAUUCUCUUCUUUGUAGUACUAUGGGAACACACCAUGGAAGAGAAUAAAGGAAUGGAAUACAGUGCCACCACCACUUAAUUGUCUAGGGUGCUGUCUAGUGCUGAAAUGUCAUUUCAGCGAUAAAAUUAUCACAGCUUCAUCUCGAUUAAAACAAUAAAUAAUAGAUUUCUUCGUUUCCAUAAGUAGUGGAGCCAAUUACAGCUUUAUGCAUUACUAUGUUCUGGUCUAGUGCAAUCAUGCCUGCUUGACAUUUGUGCAGCUAGAAGUAGUGGAGUGAAGUACAGCUUGUGACAUUUUUCUGCUCCAUUCUGAUGCCAUUAUAGUUGCUUGAAACCUAGCUGUAGUGGAAUCUAGUAGCUAUUCCAACCAAUGGUAGCCAGUGUGUCUCCAUGAUAUCCGAUCUGUAUUUGAAAAAAAGUUUAGUAUUUUGGUUACUUUUUUCAUUUCCAAUAAUUCCACUUAUUGAUUCUUUACGGAAUUUUUUAUUUUAAAAGAAAAUUAUAACAAAAUGGGUCCAUGAAUUGAUAGAUACAUCUCGUCUGUUCAGACUUUUUCAUAAAUUUUUGGCAGUGCUACAGUGUGUUGGUAGCACAGUAGCACCACAGACUAGUAGCACUACAACUUUCCAUGCAUACCAAUUUGCACGCAAAAUAAAACCAAUACUUAACACCUAUCACAAGUUUUUCAUAGCCUUUUUUUUUAACAGGGGAACAUCAUAGCCUGCUCACAGAACUUCAGCUUACCAGUGCUAUAUCCAUCAAGAAGUCCUCUCUUGUUUCAUUCUGCCAAACCAAGUUCAUUCAUAUGCCCGAGACUCAUAUGCAAAAGAUUAGCAGCAUCACAAUCAGAUAAUUCAUUUGAAACAACAGGGGCGGCAUUAGCUUUUUUGUUUGGUAUGCUGACUAGGACAGUGUAUGGAUGCAUUGGAAAAGGACAGCAGCACCAGCGGCAGCAGCUUGGACAAGUUCCGAUUGAAGCUUUGUGGAGUCCAAGUUGGUGAAGAGAAUAUAGCCUAAGAGAUGGCGAUGUUUUCUGUUUGCUGUCAUAACCGUUACCCGACACCUUUGGAUCGCUUCAGCGAAAAGGAGCCGCCCACCAAUCUUGAGUCCCUCAAGUUGGAGAGUGGUAAGUAACACAUGAAUGCACACUGGUGGGAAGAUCAUUGUGGGCCAAUUGUUGAGGAGGCAAUGAGAUACUCCGAUGAUGACAGUGAGACUACAGCGGGUGGAUAUGAUGUUCCACAGAAUCUCCAUGGGUCUGUGUGUCACCUGCUGAUUGAGUACGAGUCAGCACCCCAGCACACAAGAUGUCACUACCGCCUGGGUUGACAACAGCCUGUGGAUUGUGUUUUGUUCAUGGAUGAGGUGGUCAAUAGCCAAAAGUCAUGAAAAUGUAAUUUUUUGCCGCACUUGACAGCAAACCAAUGGUUAAUUGCAAUGCUAAAGUAUACUCUUCUAAGUAAUCUUCAUAUGUCAACCUGCAAUUGCCGACACAGAGAGGCUCUUCACCCAGGUUCAGAACAUAUAUAUGUCCAUCUUUCUUCAGAUAAUCAGUCAGCUGGUGUGCAGUGGUUAAUGAACUGAACUUGUCGAAGCUAAUUUUCUGAACCAGUUCAUGGCACCAUGUAUGUUGUGCUCCAGUAUAAAUGCAUAUCCUCCCCGGUUUCAGUGGCAGUUCUGGCUGAGUUUUAUGAGGCAGAUUAUUUUGACUGUUCCGUCUGUGAUAAAGAAACUUUGUGUUCUUGAACGUACUUGAGCCAUGAAAACAAUGCGAAGUUUCCUC
Non-coding RNA from Lolium perenne, 2824 nucleotides. Lineage: Eukaryota; Viridiplantae; Streptophyta; Magnoliopsida; Poales; Poaceae. The record is from RefSeq and is a predicted model, not a curated record.